CGUAGGUGGUUCUGUAAGUCGGGUGUGAAAGCCCCGGGCUCAACCUGGGAAUUGCAUUCGAUACUGCGGAACUAGAGUAUGGUAGAGGGAAGUAGAAUUCCCGGUGUAGCGGUGAAAUGCGUAGAUAUCGGGAGGAAUACCAGUGGCGAAGGCGGCUUCCUGGACCAAUACUGACACUGAGGCGCGAAAGCGUGGGUAGCAAACA
This 205-nucleotide ribosomal RNA is filed under the name uncultured bacterium. RNAcentral describes it as "partial 16S ribosomal RNA". It matches the Rfam family "Bacterial small subunit ribosomal RNA", at positions 570 to 774 of the family's 1533-position model. The record is from RNAcentral.